GACGAACGCUGGCGGAGUGCCUAAUACAUGCAAGUCGAACGAUGAAGCACCUUCGGGUGUGGAAGAGUGGCGGACGGGUGAGUAACGCGUAGGAAACGUACCCUAGAGCGGGGGACAACAGUUGGAAACGACUGCUAAUACCGCAUAGGUACCGAGUUGAAAUACUCGGUAUGAAAGGAGCAAUCCACUUUAGGAUCGGCCUGCGUAUGAUUAGCUUGUUGGUGGGGUAAAGGCCUACCAAGGCGAUGAUCAUUAGUUGGUCUGAGAGGACGAUCAGCCACAGUGGGACUGAGACACGGCCCACACUCCUACGGGAGGCAGCAGUAAGGAAUUUUGCGCAAUGGGCGAAAGCCUGACGCAGCAACUCCGCGUGAAGGAUGAAGCUUUUCGGAGUGUAAACUUCUGUCAGCAGGGACGAUAAUGACGGUACCUGCAAAGGAAGCACCGGCUAACUACG
This 457-nucleotide ribosomal RNA is filed under the name uncultured bacterium. Its description in RNAcentral is "bacterial SSU rRNA". It matches the Rfam family "Bacterial small subunit ribosomal RNA", at positions 28 to 505 of the family's 1533-position model. The record is from RNAcentral.